RNAcentral lists this transfer RNA (60 nucleotides) under Parabathippus shelfordi. Its description in RNAcentral is "tRNA-Asn". Lineage: Eukaryota; Metazoa; Arthropoda; Arachnida; Araneae; Salticidae. The record is from RNAcentral.
UAGAAAGGAGCGGUUAGCAAUUUCAUUGUUAAUGAAACGGAGUAUUUUAUGUACGGCUAG